RNAcentral lists this ribosomal RNA (468 nucleotides) under uncultured bacterium. Its description in RNAcentral is "partial 16S ribosomal RNA". It matches the Rfam family "Bacterial small subunit ribosomal RNA", at positions 28 to 507 of the family's 1533-position model. The record is from RNAcentral.
GACGAACGCUGGCGGCGUGCUUAACACAUGCAAGUCGAACGGAAAGGCCCUGCUUUUGUGGGGUGCCCGAGUGGCGAAGGGGUGAGUAACAGGUGAGUAACCGGCCCUUGACUUUGGGAUAACUUAAGGAAACUGGGGCUAAUACCGGAUAGGAGCUCCUGCGGCAGGGUGGGGGUGGGAAAGUUUCGGCGGUUGGGGAUGGACUCGCGGCUUACCAGCUUGUUGGUGGGGUAGUGGCUUACCAAGGCUUUGACGGGUAGCCGGCCUGAGAGGGUGACCGGCCACAUUGGGACUGAGAUACGGCCCAGACUCCUACGGGAGGCAGCAGUGGGGAAUAUUGCCCAAUGGGCGGAAGCCUGAUGCAGCAACGCCGCGUGCGGGAUGACGGCCUUCGGGUUGUAAACCGCUUUCGCCUGUGACGAAGCGUGAGUGACGGUAAUGGGUAAAGAAGCACCGGCUAACUACGUG